GAUGAAGAACGUAGCGAAAUGCGACAAGUAAUGUGAAUUGCAGAAUUCCGUGAAUCAUCGAAUCUUUGAACGCACAUUGCGCCCUCUGGUAUUCCGGGGGGCAUGCCUGUCCGAGCGUCAUUGCUGCCCUCAAGCACGGCUUGUGUGUUGGGCCUCCGUCCUCCUCCCGGGGGACGGGCCCGAAAGGCAGCGGCGGCACCGCGUCCGGUCCUCGAGCGUAUGGGGCUUCGUCACCCGCUCUUGUAGGCCCGGCCGGCGCUUGCCGACACAUCAAUCUUUUUUCCAGGUUGACCUCGGAUCAGGUAGGGAUACCCGCUGAACUUAAGCAUAUCAAUAAGCGGAGGA
This 345-nucleotide unclassified non-coding RNA is filed under the name soil metagenome. Its description in RNAcentral is "partial contains 5.8S ribosomal RNA, internal transcribed spacer 2, and large subunit ribosomal RNA". The stretch from base 1 to 120 matches the Rfam family "5.8S ribosomal RNA", at positions 35 to 154 of the family's 154-position model. The record is from RNAcentral.